Molecule: small RNA, 28 nt
Filed under: Bombyx mori (domestic silkworm)
Lineage: Eukaryota; Metazoa; Arthropoda; Insecta; Lepidoptera; Bombycidae
Description: ovarian small RNA-23693
Source: RNAcentral
UAUCGGUAAGUACCAUCGGUGGUUUUUC